CGAUGAAGGCGAACAGCUUCCAGCACGAAUCCAGCGCCGCCCGGCAGGCCACCGGCAUGACCUCGCGCGCGCGUCGACCGGAACCCCACAUCCUCGCUGGGUAACCGGAGCUUCGUGCUGUCUG
This 124-nucleotide small RNA is filed under the name Stenotrophomonas daejeonensis. RNAcentral describes it as "Xanthomonadaceae sRNA Xoo5". It matches the Rfam family "Xanthomonadaceae sRNA Xoo5". Lineage: Bacteria; Pseudomonadati; Pseudomonadota; Gammaproteobacteria; Lysobacterales; Lysobacteraceae. The record is from Rfam by way of RNAcentral.